GCUUUCUGGGGUACAUAUGGCCUAUCACCUGGACCACUAGGUCUCAGGAUUGACAAGAAUGACAAGUUGGGCUUGGCCUAUUUAUUUCUACAGCAGCCUGAAAGGAAUGUGUCCAAUUGAGGAUACCUGAGGACACCUAGUCUCCCUCAGCUUCGGACUCCCACCCAGAGGGGAGAGUUUCCAGUCAGCAUUUCAGUGGUGAAUACAGAAGAAAAAUUAGUGCAGAUCAAGUAACAUGGAGAGAAAAAAAGAGACAGCACU
This is a long non-coding RNA of Lontra canadensis (Northern American river otter), 261 nucleotides long. RefSeq lists it as uncharacterized. The transcript has 3 exons. Lineage: Eukaryota; Metazoa; Chordata; Mammalia; Carnivora; Mustelidae. The record is from RefSeq and is a predicted model, not a curated record.